Molecule: ribosomal RNA, 465 nt
Filed under: uncultured bacterium
Lineage: Bacteria
Description: partial 16S ribosomal RNA
Rfam family: Bacterial small subunit ribosomal RNA
Source: RNAcentral
CCUACGUGAGGCAGCAGUGGGGAAUAUUGCGCAAUGGGCGAAAGCCUGACGCAGCGCCGCCGCGUGAGGGAUGAAGGUCUUCGGAUCAUCAACCUCUGUCAGCAGGGAAGAACGGUCACUGUGCUAAUCAGCAGUGAAUUGACGGUACCUGCAAAGGAAGCCCCGGCUAACUCCGUGCCAGCAGCCGCGGUAAUACGGAAGGUGCGAGAGUUAAUCGGACUUACUGGGCGUAAAGUGCUCGUGGGCGGGAUGUCAAGUCAAGGGGGAAAUCCCCGCGCUCAACGUGGGAACUGCCUUUGAAACUGGCAAACUGGAGUGUGUGAGAGGAUAGUGGAAUUCCAGGUGUAGGAGUGAAAUCCGUAGAUAUCUGGAGGAACAUCAGUGGCGAAGGCGACUGUCUGGCACAUAACUGACGCUGAGGAGCGAAAGCGUGGGUAGCAAACAGGAUUAGAUACCCGGGUAGUC